CCCUUAGAUGUUCUGGGCCGCACGCGCGCUACACUGAUGCAUUCAACGAGCCUAUCCUUGACCGACAGGUCCGGGUAAUCUUUGAAUCUGCAUCGUGACGGGGAUAGAUUAUUACAAUUAUUAAUCUUCAACGAGGAAUGCCUAGUAGGCGCAAGUCAUCAGCUUGCGUCGAUUACGUCCCUGCCCUUUGUACACACCGCCCGUCGCUCCUACCGAUUGGGUGUGCUGGUGAAAUGUUCGGAUCGGCCGUUUGUCGCGGUUUCCGCGUCAUGUGGCUGAGAAGUUCAUUAAACCCUCCCACCUAGAGGAAGGAGAAGUCGUAACA
Molecule: ribosomal RNA, 325 nt
Filed under: uncultured eukaryote
Lineage: Eukaryota
Description: partial 18S ribosomal RNA
Rfam family: Eukaryotic small subunit ribosomal RNA
Source: RNAcentral